AUACGAAAGGUGCAAGCGUUGUUCGGAUUUACUGGGCGUAAAGAGAGUGUAGGUGGUUUAUUAAGUCGGAUGUGAAAUCCCGGGGCUCAACCUCGGAACUGCAUUCGAUACUGAUAGGCUAGAGUUUGGGAGGGGUAAGCGGAAUUCCGUGUGUAGCAGUGAAAUGCGUAGAUAUACGGAGGAACACCUGAGGCGAAGGCGGCUUACUGGACCAAUACUGACACUGAGACUCGAAAGCGUGGGUAGCAAACAGGAUUAGAAACCCUUGUAGUCC
This 274-nucleotide ribosomal RNA is filed under the name uncultured bacterium. Its description in RNAcentral is "partial 16S ribosomal RNA". It matches the Rfam family "Bacterial small subunit ribosomal RNA", at positions 523 to 796 of the family's 1533-position model. The record is from RNAcentral.